AACGAACGCUGGCGGCAGGCCUCAAACAUGCAAGUCUAGGGGGUGUAGCAAUACAUCACCGGCGGACGGGUGCGUAACGCGUGGGAAUAUACCUAUCGAUUCGGAACAACUGAGGGAAACUUCAGCUAAUACCGAAUACGUCCUAACGGAGAAAAGAUUUUAUCGUCGAUAGAUUAGCCCGCGUUCGAUUAGCUAGUUGGUGGGGUAACGCCCACCAAGGCGACGAUCGAUAGCUGUUCUGGAGAGGAAGAUCAGCCACACUGGGACUGAGACACGGCCCAGACUCCUACGGGAGGCAGCAGUUGGGGAAUCUUGGACAAUGGGGGAACCC
RNAcentral lists this ribosomal RNA (331 nucleotides) under uncultured bacterium. RNAcentral's name for it is "bacterial SSU rRNA". It matches the Rfam family "Bacterial small subunit ribosomal RNA", at positions 29 to 382 of the family's 1533-position model. The record is from RNAcentral.